GACGUAGGGGGCCAGCGUUGCUCGGAAUUACUGGGUGUAAAGGGUUCGUAGGCGGUGUGGCAAGUCGGGAGUGAAAUCUCUGGGCUCAACCCAGAGUCUGCUUCCGAAACUGCUGCGCUUGAGUGUGGGAGAGGCGCGUGGAAUUGCAGGUGUAGCGGUGAAAUGCGUAGAUAUCUGCAGGAACACCCGUGGCGAAAGCGGCGCGCUGGACCACUACUGACGCUGAGGAACGAAAGCUAGGGGAGCAAACAGG
This 253-nucleotide ribosomal RNA is filed under the name uncultured bacterium. Its description in RNAcentral is "partial 16S ribosomal RNA". It matches the Rfam family "Bacterial small subunit ribosomal RNA", at positions 524 to 776 of the family's 1533-position model. The record is from RNAcentral.